RNAcentral lists this long non-coding RNA (1326 nucleotides) under Salmo trutta (river trout). RNAcentral's name for it is "lncRNA (ENSSTUG00000013775.1)". Lineage: Eukaryota; Metazoa; Chordata; Actinopteri; Salmoniformes; Salmonidae. The record is from RNAcentral.
GUAGGACACACAGGAACACACUGUCCAGUAGGACACACAGGAACACACUGUUCAGUAGGACACACAGGAACACACUGUUCAGUAGGACACACAGGAACACACUGUUCAGUAGGACACACAGGAACACACUGUUCAGUAGGACACACAGGAACACACUGUUCAGUAGGACACACAGGAACACACUGUUCAGUAGGACACACAGGAACACACUGUUCAGUAGGACACACAGGAACACACUGUUCAGUAGGACACACAGGAACACACUGUUCAGUAGGACGCACAGGAACACACUGUCCAGUAGAACACACAGGAACACACUGUCCAGUAGGACACACAGGAACACACUGUCCAGUAGGACACACAGGAACACAGUGUUCAGUAGGACACACAGGAACACACUGUUCAGUAGGACACACAGGAACACACUGUUCAGUAGGACACACAGGAACACACUGUCCAGUAGGACGCACAGGAACACACUGUCCAGUAGGACGCACAGGAACACACUGUCCAGUAGGACGCACAGGAACACACUGUCCAGGACACACAGGAACACACUGUUCAGUAGAACACAGGAACACACUGUGCAGUAGCACACACAGGAACACACUGUGCAGUAGGACACACAGGAACACACUGUCUAUUGCACUUCACACUGCCCUUUCCCACCUGGACAAAAGGAACACCUAUGUGAGAAUGCUAUUCAUUGACUACAGCUCAGCGUUCAACACCAUAGUCCCCUCAAAGCUCAUCACUAAGCUAAGGAUCCUGGGACUAAACACCUCCCUCUGCAACUGGAUCCUGGACUUCCUGACGGGCCGCCCCCAGGUGGUGAGAGUAGGUAGCAACACAUCCACCACGCUGAUCCUCAACACUGGAGCCCCUCAGGGGUGCGUGCUCAGUUCCCUCCUGUACUCCCUGUUUACCCACAACUGCGUGGCCAGGCACGACUCCAACACCAUCAUUAAGUUUUCAGACGACACAACAGUGGUAGACCUGAUCACCGACAACGACGAGACAGCCUAUAGGGAGGAGGUCAGAGACCUGGCUGGGUGGUGCCAGAAUAACAACCUACCCCUCAACGUAACCAAGACUAAGGAGAUGAUUGUGGACUACAGGAAAAGGAGGACCGAGCACGCCCCCAUUCUCAUCGACGGGGCUGUAGUGGAGCAGGUUGAGAGCUUCAAGUUCCUUGGUGUCCACAUCAACAACAAACUAGAAUGGUCCAAACACACCAAGACAGUCGUGAAGAGGGCACGACAAAGCCUAUUCCCCCUCAGGAAACUAAAAAGAUUUGGCAUGGGUCCUGAGAUCCUCAAAAGGUUC